CUCAUGGUGUUGUGCUACGCGCGUGCUCUGCAGCCCCUCCUCCACGGUCUCGUACAGGAAGGACCAGGGCGAGUCGUGGUUACUAACGUGUGUGGGUGCGGAUGUGGGUAAGAUUUUCAUUGAUUUCUUCUCAGUUGGAAACUGUCCAGCCAGUAUUGAUUUCACGUUUCAAUUUUCUUGUUGUUUUCACUGAAUGAAUUAUAGGAACACACCUAUCAUAUGCCCUAGCGGUGUAGGCCUGAACACAUGUCAUAUGUUGGAGUAGAUGCAAGUAUAUGAAUGAUGAAUGGGUGCUGCCUUAAAUCAUCAGCACAUUAGUGGUGCCCGAUCAAAGUCAAACGCUCGCCCUGGACAGCCUGUUCGCCAAAGUUGUUACGCCGAGCUGUAGCUGCUGGGCGCCCAUCUAGGCGCUCUGCUAGGUGUGGCGUCACUCCUGUUCCCGGCAACAGGUACUUCUCUACCCGUCAAUUACAAAUCCAUCCAUCCAACUUCAAUUUUGAUAUAUUUGAUGUAUAAUGCAUAAUGAAUCUUACUUAUGUUGAAAAACUUAGACAUAUAAGAAUGUCUGCAAGCAAACCAUGUACCACACAUUUUAGAAGGUUUAUUUUUCUACAUUUCUAUUUUUUUCAACAUAUGUACUAGCUAUGUAUCAAUAAGUAUUUCUACAUUUUUUAUUUGAUACCAAAUUUUAAGGAACGUUAAUCUGAUGUAUUUUUACAGUAAUCAGCAUGUUGACUUGACGCUUGCCUGUUCGCAACAUACCUUGGUAUUGUCGAAGAGUUGAAUGAUUGUAAAGCGGAUAUACCAUUAAUGACAAUGGUGUGGAUGGAUUACCAC
This 837-nucleotide long non-coding RNA is filed under the name Triticum aestivum (bread wheat). Its description in RNAcentral is "long non-coding RNA (TAES_LNC006919)". Lineage: Eukaryota; Viridiplantae; Streptophyta; Magnoliopsida; Poales; Poaceae. The record is from RNAcentral.